UACGUAUGGUGCAAGCGUUAUCCGGAUUUACUCGGCGUAAAGGGAGCGCAGGCGGCGCGCCAAGUCUGAUGUGAAACCCCGGGGCUCAACCCCGGGCAUGCAUUGGAAACUGGCGGGCUGGAGUGCCGGAGAGGUAAGCGGAAUUCCUAGUGUAGCGGUGAAAUGCGUAGAUAUUAGGAGGAACACCAGUGGCGAAGGCGGCUUACUGGACGGCAACUGACGCUGAGGCUCGAAAGCGUGGGGAGCAAACAGG
Molecule: ribosomal RNA, 253 nt
Filed under: uncultured bacterium
Lineage: Bacteria
Description: partial 16S ribosomal RNA
Rfam family: Bacterial small subunit ribosomal RNA
Source: RNAcentral